This 439-nucleotide ribosomal RNA is filed under the name uncultured bacterium. Its description in RNAcentral is "bacterial SSU rRNA". It matches the Rfam family "Bacterial small subunit ribosomal RNA", at positions 958 to 1398 of the family's 1533-position model. The record is from RNAcentral.
AACGCGAAGAACCUUACCCAGGCUUGACAUGCAGAUGACGAUAGUAGAAAUACUAUUUCCUUUCGGGGCAUCUGCACAGGUGCUGCAUGGCUGUCGUCAGCUCGUGCCGUGAGGUGUUUGGUUAAGUCCAGCAACGAGCGCAACCCUUAUCACUAGUUGCCAACAUUUCGGAUGGGAACUCUAGUGAGACUGCCUGGGUUAACCAGGAGGAAGGUGAGGAUGACGUCAAGUCCGCAUGGCCCUUAUGUCUGGGGCUACACACGUGCUACAAUGGUCGGUACAGAAGGCAGCGAAGCCGCGAGGUGGAGCAAAUCCAUAAAGCCGAUCUCAGUUCAGAUUGUAGUCUGCAACUCGACUACAUGAAGACGGAAUUGCUAGUAAUGGCGGGUCAGCAACACCGCCGUGAAUACGUUCCCGGGCCUUGUACACACCGCUCGUC